GUGGGGAAUAUUGGACAAUGGGCGAAAGCCUGAUCCAGCCAUGCCGCGUGUGUGAAGAAGGUCUUCGGAUUGUAAAGCACUUUAAGUUGGGAGGAAGGGCAGUAAGUUAAUACCUUGCUGUUUUGACGUUACCGACAGAAUAAGCACCGGCUAACUUCGUGCCAGCAGCCGCGGUAAUACGAAGGGUGCAAGCGUUAAUCGGAAUUACUGGGCGUAAAGCGCGCGUAGGUGGUUCAGCAAGUUGGAGGUGAAAUCCCCGGGCUCAACCUGGGAACUGCCUCCAAAACUACAGGGCUAGAGUACGGUGGAGGGUAGUGGAAUUUCCUGUGUAGCGGUGAAAUGCGUAGAUAUAGGAAGGAACACCAGUGGCGAAGGCGACUACCUGGACUGAUACUGACACUGAGGUGCGAAAGCGUGGGGAGCAAACAGGAUUAGAAACCCGAGUAGUCC
Molecule: ribosomal RNA, 450 nt
Filed under: uncultured bacterium
Lineage: Bacteria
Description: partial 16S ribosomal RNA
Rfam family: Bacterial small subunit ribosomal RNA
Source: RNAcentral